UACGGAGGUGGCAAGCGUUGCUCGGAAUCACUGGGCGUAAAGGGCGCGUAGGCGGGGAGGUAAGUCGGGUGUGAAAUCCCUCGGCUUAACCGGGGAACUGCGUCUGAUACUGGAUGGCUUGAGGUUGGGAGAGGGAUGCGGAAUUCCAGGUGUAGCGGUGAAAUGCGUAGAUAUCUGGAGGAACACCGGUGGCGAAGGCGGCAUCCUGGACCAAUUCUGACGCUGAGUGAGCGAAAGCCAGGGGAGCAAACGGG
Molecule: ribosomal RNA, 254 nt
Filed under: uncultured bacterium
Lineage: Bacteria
Description: partial 16S ribosomal RNA
Rfam family: Bacterial small subunit ribosomal RNA
Source: RNAcentral